This 425-nucleotide ribosomal RNA is filed under the name uncultured bacterium. Its description in RNAcentral is "bacterial SSU rRNA". It matches the Rfam family "Bacterial small subunit ribosomal RNA", at positions 356 to 773 of the family's 1533-position model. The record is from RNAcentral.
GGGGAAUUUUGGACAAUGGGCGCAAGCCUGAUCCAGCCAUGCCGCGUGCAGGAUGAAGGCCUUCGGGUUGUAAACUGCUUUUGUACGGAACGAAAAGACUCCUUCUAAUAAAGGGGGUCCAUGACGGUACCGUAAGAAUAAGCACCGGCUAACUACGUGCCAGCAGCCGCGGUAAUACGUAGGGUGCAAGCGUUAAUCGGAAUUACUGGGCGUAAAGCGUGCGCAGGCGGUUAUAUAAGACAGAUGUGAAAUCCCCGGGCUCAACCUGGGAACUGCAUUUGUGACUGUAUAGCUAGAGUACGGCAGAGGGGGAUGGAAUUCCGCGUGUAGCAGUGAAAUGCGUAGAUAUGCGGAGGAACACCGAUGGCGAAGGCAAUCCCCUGGGCCUGUACUGACGCUCAUGCACGAAAGCGUGGGGAGCAAAC